RNAcentral lists this long non-coding RNA (5505 nucleotides) under Homo sapiens (human). Its description in RNAcentral is "non-protein coding lnc-ZNF627-2:11". Lineage: Eukaryota; Metazoa; Chordata; Mammalia; Primates; Hominidae. The record is from RNAcentral.
ACCCGCGCUCGGCUCCCUGCUCGGUCGGGCUGGAACCUGUACUGGCAGCCGGAGGUGUAGGUAGGAACCGGAAUACCUCGGAAGCCGGGAAAUGGACUCAAUGAUCUUUGAGGAUGUGGCUGUGAACUUUACCCAGGAGGAGUGGGCUUUGCUGGAUCCGUCCCAGAAGAAACUCUACAGAGAUGUGAUGUGGGAAAUCAUCAGGAACCUGAUGUCUGUAGGAAUAAAAUGGGAAGACCGGAACAUUGAAGAUCAGUACAAAAAUUCCAGGAGAAAUCCAAGAAAUCAUAUGGCAGAGAGACUCUGUGAAUGUAAAGAUGGUCAAUGUGGAGAAACUUUCAGCCUGAUUCCAGAUGGUAUAAUGAACAAGAACACUCUUCCUGGGGUAAAACCAUGUGAAAGCAGUGUGUGUGGAGAAGGCAACGUGGAUCAUUCAUCUCUGAAUUGCUACAUCAGAGCUGACACUGGACACAAACCGUAUGAGUGUCAGGAACAUGGAGAGAAGCCACAUAAAUGUAAGCAGUGUGUAAAAACCUUCAGCUGCCUCCACUCCUUCCAAACACAUGAAAAGCCUCACACAGGAGAGAAACCCUAUGAUUGUAAGGAAUGGGAAAAAACCUUCGAUUCUCCCCAAACCGUUCGAAGAUACAGGGUAGUGCACAGUGGAGAUGGACCUUAUAAAUGUAAGUUUUGUGGGAAAGCCUUUGAUAAUCUCAGUUUAUAUCUCACACAUGAAAGAUCUCAUACUGGACAGAAGCCAUAUGAAUGUAAUGAAUGUGGGAAAGCCUUUGGUUUUCCCAGCUCCUUUCAUAGACAUGAAAGAAUGCACACCGGGGAGAAACCAUAUGAAUGUAAGCAAUGUGGGAAAACCUUUAGUUGUUCCAGUUCCAUUAAAAAACAUGAAAGAAUCCACACUGGAGAGAAGCCCUAUGAAUGCAAGCAAUGUGGGAAAGCCUUCGCUUCUUCCAAUUCCUUUCAGUAUCAUGAAAGGACUCACACUGGAGAGAAACCCUAUGAAUGUAAGCAAUGUGGGAAAGCCUUUAAUUGUUCCAGUUCCCUUAGAAAACAUGCAAGAAUUCACACUGGAGAGAAACCCUAUAUAUGUAAACAAUGUGGUAAAGCUUUUAGAUUUCCCAGUUCUAUUAAAAAUCAUGAAAAGACUCACACUGGAGAGAAGCCCUAUGAAUGUCAGGAAUGUGGGAAAGCCUUCAGAUAUUCCAGUUCACUUCGAGUACAUAAAAGAAUUCACACUGGAGAGAAGCCGUAUGAAUGUGAGGACUGUGGGAAAGCCUUCAGUCAUCCCACGACCUUUCAUAGACAUAAAAUUACCCACACUGCAGAGAAACCUUAUGAAUGUCAGGAAUGUGGGGAAGCCUUCCGUUAUCCUGUUGCUUUUCGUAGACAUAAAAUUACCCACACUGCAGAGAAACUUUGAGUGUAAGGAAUGUGGGAAAGCCUUCUGUUAUCACAGUUCCCUUCAAAGACAUGAAAGGACUCACAACGGAGAAAAGUUGUGUGGAUAUAAAAAAUGUAAAGCCGGCUGGGUGCGGUGGCUGACGCCUGUAAUCCCAGCACUUUGGGAGGCCAAGGCGGGCGGAUCAUGAGGUCAAGAGAUUGAGACCAUCAUGGCCAACAUGGUAAAACCCCAUCUCUACUAAAAAUACAAAAAUUAGCUGGGCGUGGUGGCAUGUGCCUGUAGUACCAGCUACUUGGGAGGCUGAGGCAGGAGAAUUGCUUGAACCUGGGAGGUGGAGGUUGCAGUGAACCGAGAUUGUGCCACUGUACUCCAGCCAGGUGACAGAGUGAGACUCCGUCUCAAAAAAAAAAAAAAAAAAAGUAAAGCCUUCCACUAUUCCAGUACCUUCUGAAACCAUGAAAGAACUGACACUUGAGAAAAACAAUGAUGUUAGGAACAUGGGAAACCUUUCCUUUCUCUCUCAAUCGUUUGAAGGCAUAUGGUGUGACAUGCUGGCGAUAGACCUCAUAACUGUAAGGAACAUGGAAAACGAUUCUUGUUUUCCAUGCUCCUUGUUUAUUUUAGAUACAUGAAAGAAUUUACUCUGGAGAGAAACUAUGAGUGUAAAAAAUGUGGUAACGCCUUGUGUAGUUUCUGUUUCUCUGAAAUACUGUCAUGUCCUGGUAUUCUCAGGGGAUUAGUUGCAGGCACCCCGCUCCCCACUUCAGAACAUCUAAAUCUGAAGAUGCUCAAGUGCUUUAUAUAAAAUGGUGUAUUUUCCUAGAACCUAAGCACAUCCUCUUGUACACUUUAAAUCAUCUCUAGGUUAUCCAUACUGCCUAAUGCAUUGUAAACGAUAUAAAAAUAGUUGUUUCAUUGUGUUAUUUAGGGAAUGCUGACAAGAAAAAACAUCUGUAGAUGUUUAAUACAGAUAACCAUCACAUGCCCACCUCCAUAGUACAGGCCCACCUCAUAGUAUAUGUCAGCUACAAUGAAACAUUUUCUUUUUUUUUUAAAAAACGUUUUGGAUUGGUUUCAUUUAAUGGCCUCAAAAACACGUGUUAACAUUCUCCAAAUCCUUGGUUCUUCUCUCCUGAUAACCCUCAUGUGAUGAUUGCUCUGUGGUUCCUAAAGCUGCAGUGUGUUGAGGUGCUUAGAUAUGUGGCAGUGUAGAUAAGUCAGGGGACAUCAGUUUAACUUGAAUUUUCUUUUUUUUUUUUUUUGAGAUGGAGUCUUGCUCUGUCACCCAGGCUGGAGUGCAAUGGUGUGAUCUCGGCUCACUGCAACCUCCACCUCCUGGGCUCAAGUGAUUCUCCUGCCUCAGCCUCCCAACCAGCUGGGAUUACAGGUGCCCGCCACCACACCCGGCUAAUUUUUGUAUUUUUAGAAGAGAUGGGGUUUCACCAUGUUGGCCAGGCUGGUCUUGAACUCCUGACGUCGUGAUCUGCCCACCUUGACCUCCCAAAGUGCUGGGACUACAGGAAUGAGCCACCCUGCCCGGCCAGAAUUUUCUUUCAGGACAUCAGGAGGAUCCUCUGCUGGAAGAACCAACAUCUGAUUGCAGAUGUUGCCUCUUUGGUGGAAGGUUGAAGAAUUUGUGACCGUGGAUAAGUUCGUUUCCUGUUAUGUGAACUUGGCAGAUUAAUGCUAAAUCCUGUGGGACAGCAUUUAGCAACACCUAAAAAACAUGAUAAAGAAAUACCUGAGACUGGGUAAUUUAUAAAGAAAAGAGGUUGAAUUGGCCCAUGAUUCUGCAGACUGCACAGGAAGCAUGGUACUGGAAGGAUGGCAUCUGCUCAGCUUCUAGGGAGGCCUCAGGAAACUGACAAUCAUGGUGGAAGGCAAAGGGGGAGCAGCAGUUCACACGGCCAGAGAAGGAGCAAGAGAGAGCAGGGCAAGGUGCCACAGACUUUUAAAUGACCGGUUCUCACAAGAACUUACCAUCUCAAGAACAGCACCACAGGGAUAGUGCUAAACCAUUCAUGAAGGACCACCAUCCAGUCACCUCCCACAAGGCCCCACCUUCAAUAUUGGGAAUUACAAUUCGACAUGAGAUUUGGGUGGAGAUUCAAAUCCAAACCAUGUCCUUUUGCUUUUUUCUGUUUUGUUUGUGGAGUAGAUUUUUCUCCAUCCCUUUACUUUGAGCCUAAGGGUGCCAUUGCAUGUGAGAUGGGUCUCUUGAAGACAGCAUACCAUUGGAUCUUGCUUUUUUAUCCAAGUCACCACUGUGCCUUUUAAUUGGGGCAUUUAGCCUGCUUACAUUCAAGGACUCAGUGACCUUUGAGGAUGUGGCUGUGAACUUCACCCAGGAGGAGUGGGCUUUGCUGGGUCCUUCCCAGAAGAAUCUCUACAGAGAUGUGAUGUGGGAAACCUUCAGGAACCUGAUGUCUGUAGAAGUCAUAUGGUAGAGAGAGUCUGAAGGUAAGGAAGAUGGUCAAUGUGAAGAGAUCUUCAGCCUUGUUCCAAAUGGUAUAGUGAAGACGACUUUUACUGGAGUCAAAUCAUGUGAAAGCAGUGUGUGUGAAGAAGGCAAUAUGGAUCAUUCAUCUCUUAAUUGCUGCAUCAGAGCUGACACUGGACACAAAUCAGAUGAGUGUCAGCAACAUAGAAGCCACAUAAGCAGUGUGUGAAAACCUUCAGCUAUUGCCACUCCUUUCAAACACAUGAAAGGCCUCACACUGGAAAGAAACUCCAUGUAAGAAAUGUGGAAAAACCUUCAUUUCUGUUCAAACCUUUUGAAGAUACAUGGUAAUGCACAGUGAAGAUGAACCUUAUAAAUGUAAGUUUUGUGGGAAGGCCUUUGAUAAUCUACAUUUAUAUCUUACACAUGAAAGAACUCACACUGGAGAGAAACCCUAUGAAUGUAAUAAAUGUGGGAAAGCCUUCAGUUGUUCCAGUUCCAUUCGAAAACAUGCAAGAAUUCACACUGGAGAGAAACCCUAUAUAUGUAAACAAUGUGGCAAAGCCUUUAGAUAUUCCAGUUCUAUUCGAAAUCAUGAAAACACUCACACUGGUGAAAAACCCUGUGAAUGUAAGCAAUGUGGGAAAGCCUUUAGUUAUUCCAGUUACUUUCGAAUACAUGAAAGAAUUCACACUGGAGAGCAGGUGUAUAAAUGUAAGGAAUGUGGGAAAACAUUCACUUAUCCCAGUGCCUUUCAUAAACAUAAAAGUACCCACACUUCACAGAAACUUUAUGAAUGUAAGGAAUGUGGGAAAGCAUUUGAUUGUUUUAGUUCCUUUCAUAGUCAUGAAGGGGUUCACACUGGAGAGAAACCCUAUGAAUGCAGAACGUGGAAAAGCCUUCAGUAGUUCUAAGUACUUAAAAAUACAUGGAAGAACUCACACUGGAGAGAAGUCCUAUGCAGUAAAGAAUGAGGGAAAGUAUUUUAUUGUCUCAGUCCCCUUCAAAGACAUGAAAGGACUCACAUCAGAGAAAAGUUGUAUGAAUGUAAAAAAUGUGAUAAAGCCUUCCAUUCGUCCAGUACUGUUAGAAACCAUGAAAGAAGUCACAUUUAAGAAAAACACAGUGAUGUUAGGAAUAUGGGGAACCUUUCCUUUCUCUUCCAGUCUUUGGAAGGCACAGGGUAUGACACACUGGUGACCUUAUAACUGUAAGGAGUGUGGAUAAGUAUUUAUUAGUCCUUGUGUGUUUUAGAUACAUGAAAGAAUUUACUCAAAAGGAAACUCUAUGAAUGUAAAGAAUGUGGUAAAACCUGUGUAGUUUCAGUUUCUCUUGAAUAAAGUCAUUUCCUGGUAUUCUCAGGGGAUUGGUUCCAGCACCCCUUGAGAAUAUAUAAUUUUGCUCAAGUGCUUUACAGAAAAGUGUAUUUGCCUAUAACUAGGCAAUCCUGUAUACUUUAAAUCAUCUCUAGAUUACUUAUAAUACCUAAUGCAUUGUAAAUGCUAUGAAGACAACUGUUUUAUUGUAUUUAGGGAAGUAUGACAAGAAAAAACAUCUGUACAUAUUCAGUACAGACACAACCACCAUACGGCUACCUACCUAGUACACAUCAUCUACAAUAUAACAUUUUCUUUUUAAAAAACAGUUA